UGGAAAAUGGUGCAGCUACUACAAACCAUAUUUUCCAAGAAAUUUUUGUACUAGGGACACAAAACUAAAAAGACAUAAAAAGAUUAUAAAAUGGGGCUUUUCUCUGGGAUUAUAUGUGAUUUUAAUUUUCAUCUUUAAUAUUUCUGUACUCCCCAAACUUUUAUAUUUUAAUGAGAAAGUGUUUUUUAAUCAUAAAACGAUUUUUAAAAACCCAUUAUUCAUCCCACAACUAGAAGGACAUGCAACUAAGAUAUAUAACUGUGUACAGGGGGUGCUUGGGGAGAUAAAGCAGGAAAAAAAAACCCCACUAUUCGUUUUCCUUUUUGGCCUUCAUCCUGUCAUUGUUACUGUUUCUCAGAGACAGUUUACAUCUGAAUCCAGGUGCGGGCAGGUGCACGGAUAGGACUCAGAACCUGCAUUUUAUCCUGGCUCACAGAAACCCAGGAACGCAUCCCCACCUCGAAACUGAGAUGGGAAAGGAGAAACUAGAAUCUUUAAUAUCAGGUGGGAUGAGGCGUCCUGUCUCCACAGAAGCCGCUCCUCUCCAGAGAAAGACGAACAGAUGAGAAUAUUCCUCUGGGCUGAAGCAGCACCAUGCCCGGGAGGAAAGCUCUAACCAGCCCCUUGUGAUCUGGCUGCCGCCAGGGCCAGCUGUGAGGACAGGGGGUCUCCGCCGCAGGGAAAGGAAGCGGGGUCUCUAGUCCCAGGUGGAGGUGGAGGUGGAUGCAGUGGGCUCCCUCCCUGGUGACUGCACGGCCGUCUCUUCCCUUGCUUCUACUUCGUGCCCUGGCCUCAGGCUCAGCGAAGCGGCACAGAGAGGUGGAGUGACUUCCUGAUGAGAGUGCAUCUUCAUUGCUGGAAAGCCUGAAUGAGGCACAAUUCUUCUCCAGGUGUUUUUCUAUUUAACUCAAAUCUCGUCAAAAUCCUCUAAGAAGGAAAGUUCACUGAUGUAAGAGGUUCGUAUUUUAUGUAAGUACAGGUGUGCAUAGAAAAAAAAUCGGAAAGAAUAUGCAUCAAAUUGUGGGAGGUAAUCUUUGCUCCUAUCCUUCCUGUCUUUAACAGAUGAUGCAAUGUGCAUGGAUUACUGAAUUCUAAGUACUGUGAAAGGCACUUUCACUUAAUUAUCUCAAGUUCUCCCAACACCAUGAAGUAGGUACUACUUUGCCUACUUUAUAGAUUUAAAAAAUGGAAGCACAGAGAAGUUAGCUUAUUUAUUCAAGGUCACACAGCUGGUAAAGUGCUGGUUUAUACCCAACAGCCUGAAUCUGGAGCCAGCUCUCUUAUGAGUGGGC
RNAcentral lists this long non-coding RNA (1292 nucleotides) under Equus caballus (horse). RNAcentral's name for it is "lncRNA (ENSECAG00000058398.1)". Lineage: Eukaryota; Metazoa; Chordata; Mammalia; Perissodactyla; Equidae. The record is from RNAcentral.